RNAcentral lists this ribosomal RNA (465 nucleotides) under uncultured bacterium. RNAcentral's name for it is "partial 16S ribosomal RNA". It matches the Rfam family "Bacterial small subunit ribosomal RNA", at positions 338 to 795 of the family's 1533-position model. The record is from RNAcentral.
CCUACGGGAGGCAGCAGUAGGGAAUUUUCGUCAAUGGGCGCAAGCCUGAACGAGCAAUGCCGCGUGAACGAGGAAGGUCUUCGGAUCGUAAAGUUCUGUUGAAGGGGAAAAAGAGCGGAGAGAGGAAAUGAACUCCGAUUGAUAUUACCCUUCGAGGAAGUCACGGCUAACUACGUGCCAGCAGCCGCGGUAAUACGUAGGUGGCGAGCGUUAUCCGGAAUGAUUGGGCGUAAAGGGUGCGUAGGCGGCCUGCUAAGUCUGGAGUGAAAGGUACCGGCUCAACCGGUACAGGCUCUGGAAACUGGCGGGAGAGAGGGGAGGAGAGGGAGGUGGAACGCCAUGUGUAGCGGUAAAAUGCGUAGAUAUAGGGAAGAACACGAGUGGCGAAGGCGGCCGCCGGGCCUGUUGACUGACGCGGGGGCACGAAAGCGUGGGGAGAAAAUAGGAUUAGAGACCCUAGUAGUC